GCAGGGUUUCCAACAAAAAUCCUUUCCCUGCAGAAAAAUGCCCGCCAAGGAUCCUGCUGUGAAGAGCUCCCACUGGAGGAGGAGCCUGCAGAUAAUACACCGUGCAGACCGUAAUGAGCAUAGAAUAUCCCAAUCUCUAAGGAAAUGGAGCCUUUACAAGGGUAUAAGCAGUUUCUAUACACAAUAGAUUAUGACAACUUCUUCUUUAAGGUGAGAUCCAAUGUCAUUCACAGGGGUAUUCAGAAGUGCUAAAAAUAUU
This 259-nucleotide long non-coding RNA is filed under the name Chinchilla lanigera (long-tailed chinchilla). RNAcentral describes it as "lncRNA (ENSCLAG00000023113.1)". Lineage: Eukaryota; Metazoa; Chordata; Mammalia; Rodentia; Chinchillidae. The record is from RNAcentral.